Molecule: ribosomal RNA, 717 nt
Filed under: Triticum aestivum (bread wheat)
Lineage: Eukaryota; Viridiplantae; Streptophyta; Magnoliopsida; Poales; Poaceae
Description: partial small subunit ribosomal RNA
Source: RNAcentral
AUGAAGAACCAUCCAUUAAUCAACGUAAUAGCAUCGAAUAGCCAUGGUUCAAUGUUUCUGUACGCAGAAGACUUCUCUGGAGAAGAGAAGACAGGUGAAGCCAUUUCACAAUUCUUACUGCAAGCCAUUGAGGAGAUUGGCCCUUCCAAUGUCCUUCAGGUCAUCACUGAUAAUGCAUCUAAUUGCAGAGUUGCGGGUGAAGAAAUUCAGAGAGUGCAUAAGCAUAUAUUUUGGUCUCCAUGUGUGGUUCACACACUGAAUCUAGUAUUCAAAGAUUUUGCAAAAAAGUUUGCUUGGAUGGUUGAUACAUACCAGACUGGGAAAGCAAUUGUGAAGUUCUUUAGGAGCCACCAGCACUUUCAAGAUCUAUUUAGACGCAACUCCAAGUUGGAUCUUUUGAAGGUCUCAAAAACAAGAUUUGCUUCUCAUUAUAUUUUUCUUAAGAGGCUUAUGGAUGUUCGAGAGGCGCUCACAACUACCAUUGUCACAAGCAAGUGGAAGGAACUGGUGAAGGCUUGUGAUGUACAAACAAGAGCAGCAGCAAAUGCGAUUGCCCAAAAUAUCAUUGAUGAGACAUUUUGGGAUGAGAUUAAAAUCAUCCUUGACAUCACAAAACCAUUAUACAUGAUAAUCAAGUUCAGUGACGGAGAAGGUCCAAAAUCUGGUGAUAUAUAUCAAAAAUGGACAAUAUGCUUGGCGAGAUGCAAGAAGUCAUGA